UUUCUCCUCUUUUCUAGUAGGGGCAAAGAGCACAUCACUGCCCAAAACAGGAGUCAGAAUUUCAGCGGAAGAAUUGAUUUUAUAUCCUGCAUAUUCAGAUACUUUAAAUGAAACCCAAACACAAGAAAGAAAGAUAUACAGAGCAAGCUGGGAUGAGAAAAUAUACAUUGAUGUGUGUGAAUUUUUAACUUACAUCACACACAUCACAUACUUACGAAAACUGUCUGUCAUGUCUAAUGAUUCAUGUGACUCAGGUUAUAAUUCCAAAAGAAACACAACAAUUUUAGAAACUGAGGAACAGUGCAUUGAGGAUGAAAAACCGAACAGAAACCCAACAGAAACAAAAUACGAAGGUCAAAAACAAAGAAGAAGGUCCUUGUAAUCAAUAGCUAGAUUUACAA
This is a long non-coding RNA of Misgurnus anguillicaudatus (oriental weatherfish), 401 nucleotides long. RefSeq lists it as uncharacterized. The record is from RefSeq and is a predicted model, not a curated record. NCBI's taxonomy places the organism in Eukaryota, Metazoa, Chordata, Actinopteri, Cypriniformes, Cobitidae.